RNAcentral lists this ribosomal RNA (466 nucleotides) under uncultured bacterium. RNAcentral's name for it is "bacterial SSU rRNA". It matches the Rfam family "Bacterial small subunit ribosomal RNA", at positions 34 to 518 of the family's 1533-position model. The record is from RNAcentral.
CGCUGGCGGCGUGCCUAACACAUGCAAGUCGAGCGAGAAGAUCCUCGGGAUGAUCCUAGCGGCGGACGGGUGAGCAACACGUGGGCAACCUGCCUCAUAGAGAGGAAUAGCCUUCCGAAAGGGAGAUUAAUACCUCAUAACAUUGCAGUUUCGCAUGGAACAGCAAUUAAAGGAGCAAUCCGCUAUGAGAUGGGCCCGCGGCGCAUUAGCUAGUUGGUGAGGUAACGGCUCACCAAGGCGACGAUGCGUAGCCGACCUGAGAGGGUGAUCGGCCACAUUGGGACUGAGACACGGCCCAGACUCCUACGGGAGGCAGCAGUGGGGAAUAUUGCACAAUGGGGGAAACCCUGAUGCAAGCAACGCCGCGUGAGUGAUGACGGCCUUCGGGUUGUAAAGCUCUGUCUUCAGGGACGAUAAUGACGGUACCUGAGGAGGAAGCCACGGCUAACUACGUGCCAGCAGCGGC